Molecule: ribosomal RNA, 506 nt
Filed under: uncultured bacterium
Lineage: Bacteria
Description: partial 16S ribosomal RNA
Rfam family: Bacterial small subunit ribosomal RNA
Source: RNAcentral
AGUGAACGCUGGCGGUAGGCCUAACACAUGCAAGUCGAACGGCAGCACAGAGGAGCUUGCUCCUUGGGUGGCGAGUGGCGGACGGGUGAGGAAUACAUCGGAAUCUACUUUUUCGUGGGGGAUAACGUAGGGAAACUUACGCUAAUACCGCAUACGACCUACGGGUGAAAGCAGGGGAUCUUCGGACCUUGCGCGAUUGAAUGAGCCGAUGUCGGAUUAGCUAGUUGGCGGGGUAAAGGUCCACCAAGGCGACGAUCCGUAGCUGGUCUGAGAGGAUGAUCAGCCACACUGGAACUGAGGCACGGUCCAGACUCCUACGGGAGGCAGCAGUGGGGAAUAUUGGACAAUGGGCGCAAGCCUGAUCCAGCCAUACCGCGUGGGUGAAGAAGGCCUUCGGGUUGUAAAGCCCUUUUGUUGGGAAAGAAAUCCAGCCGGCUAAUACCUGGUUGGGAUGACGGUACCCAAAGAAUAAGCACCGGCUAACUUCGUGCCAGCCGCCGCGGUAA